This 709-nucleotide ribosomal RNA is filed under the name Butyrivibrio sp. G29. RNAcentral's name for it is "bacterial SSU rRNA". It matches the Rfam family "Bacterial small subunit ribosomal RNA", at positions 32 to 725 of the family's 1533-position model. Lineage: Bacteria; Bacillati; Bacillota; Clostridia; Lachnospirales; Lachnospiraceae. The record is from RNAcentral.
AACGCUGGCGGCGUGCCUAACACAUGCAAGUCGAACGGAGAAUUUACGCUGAUGAAGCUUCGGCAGAUUCUUGUAAAUUCUUAGUGGCGGACGGGUGAGUAACGCGUGGGCAACCUGCCUCAUACUGGGGGAUAACAGCUGGAAACGACUGUUAAUACCGCAUAAGCGCACGGUAUCGCAUGAUACAGUGUGAAAAACUCCGGUGGUAUGAGAUGGGCCCGCGUCAGAUUAGCCAGUUGGCAGGGUAACGGCCUACCAAAGCGACGAUCUGUAGCCGGCCUGAGAGGGCGGACGGCCACAUUGGGACUGAGACACGGCCCAAACUCCUACGGGAGGCAGCAGUGGGGGAUAUUGCACAAUGGAGGAAACUCUGAUGCAGCGACGCCGCGUGAGUGAAGAAGUAUUUCGGUAUGUAAAGCUCUAUCAGCAGGGAAGAAAGACUCGUAAGAGAGAUGACGGUACCUGACUAAGAAGCCCCGGCUAACUACGUGCCAGCAGCCGCGGUAAUACGUAGGGGGCAAGCGUUAUCCGGAUUUACUGGGUGUAAAGGGAGCGCAGACGGUCAAGCAAGUCUGAAGUGAAACCCCACGGCUCAACCGUGGGCUUGCUUUGGAAACUGUUUGACUAGAGUACUGGAGAGGUAAGCGGAAUUCCUAGUGUAGCGGUGAAAUGCGUAGAUAUUAGGAGGAACAUCGGUGGCGAAGGCGGC